AGGACGAACGCUGGCGGCGUGCCUAACACAUGCAAGUCGAACGGGACCAGGGGCAACUCUGGUUCAGUGGCGGACGGGUGCGUAACACGUGAGGAACAUGACUUUCGGCGGGGGAUAGCCGGCCCAACGGCCGGGUAAUACCGCGUACGACCUCUCGGGGACCUCCCCGGUUGGUGAAAGCAGCAAUGCACCGAAAGAGUGCCUCGCGGCCUAUCAGCUAGUUGGUGAGGUAACGGCUCACCAAGGCGACGACGGGUAGCUGGUCUGAGAGGAUGGCCAGCCACAUUGGGACUGAGACACGGCCCAGACUCCUACGGGAGGCAGCAGGUGGGGAAUAUGCGCAAUGGGACGAAAGCCGUGACGCAGCGACGCCGCGUGUGGGAUGACGGCCGUUCGGGUUCGUAAACCGACGUGGUACGGGAGGACGAAUGCGCCGCAAGGCGAGUGACGGUACCUCGAAAGGA
RNAcentral lists this ribosomal RNA (464 nucleotides) under uncultured soil bacterium. RNAcentral's name for it is "bacterial SSU rRNA". It matches the Rfam family "Bacterial small subunit ribosomal RNA", at positions 26 to 488 of the family's 1533-position model. The record is from RNAcentral.